Molecule: ribosomal RNA, 393 nt
Filed under: uncultured bacterium
Lineage: Bacteria
Description: partial 16S ribosomal RNA
Rfam family: Bacterial small subunit ribosomal RNA
Source: RNAcentral
AUACGGAGGAUGCGAGCGUUAUCCGGAUUUAUUGGGUUUAAAGGGUGCGUAGGCGGCCUUUUAAGUCAGCGGUGAAAGUCUGUGGCUCAACCAUAGAAUUGCCGUUGAAACUGGGGGGCUUGAGUAUGUUUGAGGCAGGCGGAAUGCGUGGUGUAGCGGUGAAAUGCUUAGAUAACACGCAGAACCCCGAUUGCGAAGGCGGCCUGCCAAGCCAUGACUGACGCUGAUGCACGAAAGCGUGGGGAUCAAACAGGAUUAGAUACCCUGGUAGUCCACGCAGUAAACGAUGAUCACUAGCUGUUUGCGAUACACUGUAAGCGGCACAGCGAAAGCGUUAAGUGAUCCACCUGGGGAGUACGCCGGCAACGGUGAAACUCAAAUGAAUUGACGGGG